RNAcentral lists this long non-coding RNA (292 nucleotides) under Brachypodium distachyon (stiff brome). Its description in RNAcentral is "long non-coding RNA (BDIS_LNC005860)". Lineage: Eukaryota; Viridiplantae; Streptophyta; Magnoliopsida; Poales; Poaceae. The record is from RNAcentral.
AUUCAUAAGUAAGCAAAACCAUGCCAAUUUUUUGGUACAUCAAACUUGCGCUCAAACCAAACACACCGGCCUAAAACCGAACAACAUGCUACUAAGUACAUAGUCCUAUAGUCUUAGUUAAACAAAGCUGAAGUGUCAUGAAUCUGCUUGCAAAACUAUGCCUUGUCUCAUAUUUGUAUGUAAAAAAUGUUUCUAGUUAUCUUUGGUUUCCACAUCCUUGGACUCCUGAAUAAGGUAGAGCAUAUUAAUGAAAAAGAAGAAAAAAUCAGGACCAUAUCUGAUUAGACCGGAA